AAUACCCAGGGACCAGUCAGGCCAGUGACACCUGCGAUCAACAGGUCCCUGGAGCCCCGCCCCUCUCCCCGCCUCGAGCCCGCCCCUCGGAGCGGGCUCCGCCUUCACGCUCACCGAGAUGACUGUAAUUGCAAAGAAGAGCUUGCUGUGAUAUCUGAUGGCAGAACAAUAGUGUGCUACCACCAUUCUGUGGACAUUUCAUAUGAGCAUACAAAACAAACCCUCAAUCAGAUUCUGUGCAUGAUAAUGAAGAAACAUAUGUUCAAGUGCUGAAAACUAGAUUGGAAGAUAAAGAUACUGAUCCUGGAGUGCUACAGGACCUAGAAGAGGUCUUUUCCAAGAGGCCUGGGACCCGAGGCCAGUUAGCUAUGUUGUAGAACUUUCAUGAACCCUUAUAUUUUACAUAGGUAGGAUUAAGGAAAAAUGAAUGUUAGAAACAGAGUUUAAAAAUUAAGUUUGAGAAUGGAAUAUAUGUAGAAAUUGAUCAGUAUUCCUGCUUGCUUUUUCAAGGUAACAUGGGGAAGAAAAAAACAUUAUUUCAGGUUGAUUAAAUAAUGCAUUUGUCAUUAUUUCAGCUGACAGAGGAGUCACCUUCUUUCAUUGGUUAUAACUUCCAGGUGCCUACUUUCCUUAAGCAAGGUGGAAACACCCUAAAGCAAGGGACUUGGAGAUUAUUGUUUUUAUUCACUAUAUGCUUGUUUUGUUGUGUCGAGGAAUCAGAAUCCAGGUGCAAUAUUUUUCUUGAUUCAAAACAUUCCAAACAGGUAUUUACAUGAAAAACCAUUUUAGGUAUUAAAAAAAGAGGCAGUACUGUACUACAUGUCAAUCCCAUGGGAACUCCCUUCUGAUUAUGUAAUACACUUCCCAAAGAGUUACAGUAUACUGAUCAAGGAAAGUAUCCACCAUUAUUGAUUUUUAAAAAUUCUUACAUAACGUACAAAAUGUGAAUGCUCACAAGAAAUAAGACCAUUUUAGCAAGCUCCUAAAUAGGCUACCUU
RNAcentral lists this long non-coding RNA (998 nucleotides) under Homo sapiens (human). Its description in RNAcentral is "novel transcript". Lineage: Eukaryota; Metazoa; Chordata; Mammalia; Primates; Hominidae. The record is from RNAcentral.